UUCUGCCCCCAAGACUCAUAGGAAGUGGGGAAUCUUGUUGUGAAAACCAUGAGUGAGAAUGCUGGGAACACAAGCCCCUUCCAUGCUGUUUGUGUGUGUUCGAAUAGAUGGACGUUGAUGCUGAAAAGGAGACUUUGAUUCUCUGCCUAACUCUUCCCCCCUGAGACUGUCCGGGGCGUGGGUGGAUGGGGCACAGACAGCACCAGCAGGGAUGAACCCUGCAGAACGAAGAGGAGAGAACCGGAUCCCCUGUGAGGAGAGGACCGGAUCCCCUGUGAGGAGAGGACCGGAUCCCCUGUGAGGAAAGGACCGGAUCCCCUGUGAGGAGAGGACCGGAUCCCCUGUGAGGAAAGGACCGGAUCCCCUGUUAUCUGCGUUUGAAGGACUUUUGCGUCCUUCGAAUCAGAAGUGAAUCCAGGACGACCACAGAGACCCGCUGAGCUUUGGAGCAGCUGGAAGUGUUUCUGAUCAAACAGGAAG
Oryzias latipes (Japanese medaka) is the source of this 480-nucleotide long non-coding RNA. RefSeq lists it as uncharacterized. The record is from RefSeq and is a predicted model, not a curated record. Lineage: Eukaryota; Metazoa; Chordata; Actinopteri; Beloniformes; Adrianichthyidae.